GACAGAGGGGGCAAGCGUUGCUCGGAAUUACUGGGCGUAAAGGGCGCGUAGGCGGGAUGUCAAGUCGGUCGUGAAAUCCCUCGGCUCAACCGAGGAACGUCGAUCGAUACUGCUGUUCUUGAGGAUUGCAGAGGAGACUGGAAUUCCCGGUGUAGCGGUGAAAUGUGUAGAGAUCGGGAGGAACACCGGUGGCGAAGGCGGGUCUCUGGGCAAUUCCUGACGCUGAGGCGCGAAAGCGUGGGGAGCAAACGGG
Molecule: ribosomal RNA, 253 nt
Filed under: uncultured bacterium
Lineage: Bacteria
Description: partial 16S ribosomal RNA
Rfam family: Bacterial small subunit ribosomal RNA
Source: RNAcentral